AUGAACGCUAGCUACAGGCUUAACACAUGCAAGUCGAGGGGCAGCAUGGUCUUAGCUUGCUAAGGCCGAUGGCGACCGGCGCACGGGUGAGUAACACGUAUCCAACCUGCCGUCUACUCUUGGACAGCCUUCUGAAAGGAAGAUUAAUACAAGAUGGCAUCAUGAGUCCACAUGUUCACAUGAUUAAAGGUAUUCCGGUAGACGAUGGGGAUGCGUUCCAUUAGAUAGUAGGCGGGGUAACGGCCCACCUAGUCUUCGAUGGAUAGGGGUUCUGAGAGGAAGGUCCCCCACAUUGGAACUGAGACACGGUCCAAACUCCUACGGGAGGCAGCAGUGAGGAAUAUUGGUCAAUGGGCGAGAGCCUGAACCAGCCAAGUAGCGUGAAGGAUGACUGCCCUAUGGGUUGUAAACUUCUUUUAUAAAGGAAUAAAGUCGGGUAUGCAUACCCGUUUGCAUGUACUUUAUGAAUAAGGAUCGGCUAACUCCGUGCCAGCAGCCGCGGUAAUACGGAGGAUCCGAGCGUUAUCCGGAUUUAUUGGGUUUAAAGGGAGCGUAGAUGGAUGUUUAAGUCAGUUGUGAAAGUUUGCGGCUCAACCGUAAAAUUGCAGUUGAUACUGGAUAUCUUGAGUGCAGUUGAGGCAGGCGGAAUUCGUGGUGUAGCGGUGAAAUGCUUAGAUAUCACGAAGAACUCCGAUUGCGAAGGCAGCCUGCUAAGCUGCAACUGACAUUGAGGCUCGAAAGUGUGGGUAUCAAACAGGAUUAGAUACCCUGGUAGUCCACACGGUAAACGAUGAAUACUCGCUGUUUGCGAUAUACGGCAAGCGGCCAAGCGAAAGCGUUAAGUAUUCCACCUGGGGAGUACGCCGGCAACGGUGAAACUCAAAGGAAUUGACGGGGGCCCGCACAAGCGGAGGAACAUGUGGUUUAAUUCGAUGAUACGCGAGGAACCUUACCCGGGCUUAAAUUGCAGAUGAAUUACGGUGAAAGCCGUAAGCCGCAAGGCAUCUGUGAAGGUGCUGCAUGGUUGUCGUCAGCUCGUGCCGUGAGGUGUCGGCUUAAGUGCCAUAACGAGCGCAACCCUUGUUGUCAGUUACUAACAGGUUCCGCUGAGGACUCUGACAAGACUGCCAUCGUAAGAUGUGAGGAAGGUGGGGAUGACGUCAAAUCAGCACGGCCCUUACGUCCGGGGCUACACACGUGUUACAAUGGGGGGUACAGAGGGCCGCUACCACGCGAGUGGAUGCCAAUCCCAAAAACCUCUCUCAGUUCGGACUGGAGUCUGCAACCCGACUCCACGAAGCUGGAUUCGCUAGUAAUCGCGCAUCAGCCACGGCGCGGUGAAUACGUUCCCGGGCCUUGUACACACCGCCCGUCAAGCCAUGGGAGCCGGGGGUACCUGAAGUGCGUAACCGCGAGGAGCGCCCUAGGGUAAAACUGGUGACUGGGG
RNAcentral lists this ribosomal RNA (1447 nucleotides) under uncultured organism. RNAcentral describes it as "SSU rRNA". It matches the Rfam family "Bacterial small subunit ribosomal RNA". The record is from RNAcentral.